GACGAAGGGGGCUAGCGUUGUUCGGAAUUACUGGGCGUAAAGCGAGUGUAGGUGGUUGUCCAAGUUGGAUGCGAAAGCCUUGAGCUCAACUCAAGAAAUGCAUUCAGGACUGGGCGGCUAGAGGACCGGAGAGGAUAGUGGAAUUCCCAGUGUAGUGGUGAAAUACGUAGAGAUUGGGAAGAACACCAGUGGCGAAGGCGGCUAUCUGGACGGUUUCUGACACUAAGACUCGAAAGCGUGGGGAGCAAACAGG
RNAcentral lists this ribosomal RNA (253 nucleotides) under uncultured bacterium. RNAcentral describes it as "partial 16S ribosomal RNA". It matches the Rfam family "Bacterial small subunit ribosomal RNA", at positions 524 to 776 of the family's 1533-position model. The record is from RNAcentral.